UUAGGAAUAUUGGACAAUGGGCGCAAGCCUGAUCCAGCCAUGCCGCGUGAGUGAUGAAGGCCUUCGGGUUGUAAAGCUCUUUAGCCGAUGAUUAUAAUGACUGUAGUCGGAAAAUAAGCCCCGGCUAACUUCGUGCCAGCAGCCGCGGUAAUACGAAGGGGGCGAGCGUUAUUCGGAAUCACUGGGCGUAAAGCGUGCGUAGGCUGUUCUGUAAGUUGGAAGUGAAAGCCCAGGGCUCAACCCUGGAAUUGCUUUCAAAACUACAGGACUCGAAUCUCGGAGAGGAUAGCGGAAUUUCCAGUGUAGUAGUGAAAUACGUAGAUAUUGGAAGGAACACCAGUGGCGCAAGCGGCUAUCUGGACGAGUAUUGACGCUGAGGCACGAAAGCGUGGGGAUCAAACAG
RNAcentral lists this ribosomal RNA (403 nucleotides) under uncultured bacterium. RNAcentral's name for it is "bacterial SSU rRNA". It matches the Rfam family "Bacterial small subunit ribosomal RNA", at positions 355 to 775 of the family's 1533-position model. The record is from RNAcentral.